RNAcentral lists this ribosomal RNA (460 nucleotides) under uncultured bacterium. Its description in RNAcentral is "partial 16S ribosomal RNA". It matches the Rfam family "Bacterial small subunit ribosomal RNA", at positions 338 to 795 of the family's 1533-position model. The record is from RNAcentral.
CCUACGGGGGGCAGCAGUGAGGAAUCUUGCGCAAUGGGCGUAAGCCUGAACCAGCCAAGCCGCGUGAGUGAUGAAGGUUCUAUGGAUCGUAAACCUCUUUUAUAAGGGAAUAAAGUGUGGGACGUGACCUAUUUUGUAUGUACCUUAUGAAUAAGGAUCGGCUCGCUCCGUUCCAGCAGCCGCGGUAAUACGGAGGCUCCGAGCGUUAUCCGGAUUUAUUGGGUUUAAAGGGUGCGUAGGCGGCCUUUUAAGUCAGCGGUGAAAGCCUGUGGCUCAACCAUAGAAUGGCCGUUGAAACUGGGGGGCUUGAGUAUGUUUGAGGAAGGCGGAAUGCGUGGUGUAGCGGUGAAAUGCUUAGAUAUCACGCAGAACCCCGAUUGCGAAGGCAGCUUGCCAAGCCAUGACUGACGCUGAUGCACGAAAGCGUGGGGAUCAAACAGGAUUAGAUACCCCUGUAGUC